GGACUGGUAGUCUAGUGGUAUGAUGAUGCCCUCACAUGGCGUAGAUCAUGGGUUCAAAUCCCAUCCAGUCCA
RNAcentral lists this transfer RNA (72 nucleotides) under Nitrososphaerota archaeon. Its description in RNAcentral is "Thaumarchaeota archaeon tRNA-Val". It matches the Rfam family "tRNA". From Rfam's summary of the family: Transfer RNA (tRNA) molecules are approximately 80 nucleotides in length. Their secondary structure includes four short double-helical elements and three loops (D, anti-codon, and T loops). Further hydrogen bonds mediate the characteristic L-shaped molecular structure. tRNAs have two regions of fundamental functional importance: the anti-codon, which is responsible for specific mRNA codon recognition, and the 3' end, to which the tRNAs corresponding amino acid is attached (by aminoacyl-tRNA synthetases). tRNAs cope with the degeneracy of the genetic code in two manners: having more than one tRNA (with a specific anti-codon) for a particular amino acid; and 'wobble' base-pairing, i.e. permitting non-standard base-pairing at the 3rd anti-codon position. The record is from RNAcentral. Lineage: Archaea; Thermoproteati; Nitrososphaerota.